RNAcentral lists this non-coding RNA (31 nucleotides) under Mus musculus (house mouse). Lineage: Eukaryota; Metazoa; Chordata; Mammalia; Rodentia; Muridae. The record is from RNAcentral.
UGAAGAGAAUAGCGUCCUUAGAGGUCACAAG